This 487-nucleotide ribosomal RNA is filed under the name uncultured bacterium. RNAcentral's name for it is "bacterial SSU rRNA". It matches the Rfam family "Bacterial small subunit ribosomal RNA", at positions 41 to 524 of the family's 1533-position model. The record is from RNAcentral.
GGCAGGCCUAAUACAUGCAAGACGAACGGCAAGUUUGAUAGCAAUAUUGAACCUAGAGUGUCGUAAGGGUGCGUAACACGUAUGCAAUCUACCCGAAACUGGAGCAUAGCUCCCCGAAAGGGGAAUUAACACUCCAUAAGAUCAUAGGAUGGCAUCAUCUAGUGAUUAAAACUGAGGUGGUUUCGGAUGAGCAUGCGUUUGAUUAGUUAGUUGGUGAGGUAACGGCUCACCAAGACGAUGAUCAAUAGGGGAACUGAGAGGUUGAUCCCCCACACUGGCACUGAGAUACGGGCCAGACUCCUACGGGAGGCAGCAGUAGGGAAUAUUGGACAAUGGGUGAGAGCCUGAUCCAGCCAUGCCGCGUGCAGGAAGAAGGCCUUCUGGGUUGUAAACUGCUUUUGCCAGGGGAUAAAAUUUCUUUGCGAAGAAAAUUGAAGGUACCUGGUGAAUAAGCCACGGCUAACUACGUGCCAGCAGCCGCGGUAAU